This 256-nucleotide ribosomal RNA is filed under the name uncultured bacterium. RNAcentral's name for it is "partial 16S ribosomal RNA". It matches the Rfam family "Bacterial small subunit ribosomal RNA", at positions 524 to 776 of the family's 1533-position model. The record is from RNAcentral.
UACGUAGGGUGCAAGCGUUUGUCCGGAAUUAUUGGGCGUAAAGAGCUCGUAGGCGGUCUGUCGCGUCGGCUGUGAAAACCCGGGGCUCAACCCCGGGCCUGCAGUCGGUACGGGCAGACUAGAGUGCGGUAGGGGAGACUGGAAUUCCUGGUGUAGCGGUGAAAUGCGCAGAUAUCAGGAGGAACACCGGUGGCGAAGGCGGGUCUCUGGGCCGUAACUGACGCUGAGGAGCGAAAAGCAUGGGGGAGCGAACAGG